Perca flavescens (yellow perch) is the source of this 396-nucleotide long non-coding RNA. RefSeq lists it as uncharacterized. The transcript is spliced from 3 exons. The record is from RefSeq and is a predicted model, not a curated record. Lineage: Eukaryota; Metazoa; Chordata; Actinopteri; Perciformes; Percidae.
CUCAGCAUCACAGACCUACAACACAGACCUGAUUGUGUUGCAGUAUGAGAUCCUGCUGUGUAUCCAGGAUCUAGACGACCCAGCUGUUGAUGUGUGUAAAAAGCUGUUGGGGAAAUAUCCCAACGUAGACGCUCGCUUAUUCAUCGUUUGAUUUAAAGUCAGCUUCUUCAUCACUCUGAAGAGGAGAUCUCAACACCUCAGGAGGACCAGAGACCUGGAGAUGGAGGCUAAAGCGUCAACACCACCAACAACAACAACAAAUAGUAUGGGGGCUACAGGGUCAACACCACCAACAACAACAACAGAUAGCAUGGGGGCUACAGGGUCAACACCACCAACAACAACAACAGAUAGCAUGGGGGCUACAGGGUCAACACCACCAACAACAACAACAAC